RNAcentral lists this transfer RNA (73 nucleotides) under Dromaius novaehollandiae (emu). RNAcentral describes it as "tRNA-Asn". It matches the Rfam family "tRNA". From Rfam's summary of the family: Transfer RNA (tRNA) molecules are approximately 80 nucleotides in length. Their secondary structure includes four short double-helical elements and three loops (D, anti-codon, and T loops). Further hydrogen bonds mediate the characteristic L-shaped molecular structure. tRNAs have two regions of fundamental functional importance: the anti-codon, which is responsible for specific mRNA codon recognition, and the 3' end, to which the tRNAs corresponding amino acid is attached (by aminoacyl-tRNA synthetases). tRNAs cope with the degeneracy of the genetic code in two manners: having more than one tRNA (with a specific anti-codon) for a particular amino acid; and 'wobble' base-pairing, i.e. permitting non-standard base-pairing at the 3rd anti-codon position. The record is from RNAcentral. Lineage: Eukaryota; Metazoa; Chordata; Aves; Casuariiformes; Dromaiidae.
UAGACAGAAGCCUGCUGGAUAAGGCAUUUAGCUGUUAACUAGAUUAUUAUGGGAUCAAGGCCCAUCUGUCUAG